RNAcentral lists this ribosomal RNA (447 nucleotides) under uncultured bacterium. RNAcentral's name for it is "bacterial SSU rRNA". It matches the Rfam family "Bacterial small subunit ribosomal RNA", at positions 329 to 796 of the family's 1533-position model. The record is from RNAcentral.
GUCCAGACUCCUACGGGAGGCAGCAGUGGGGGAUAUUGCACAAUGGAGGAAACUCUGAUGCAGCGACGCCGCGUGAGGGAAGACGGUCUUCGGAUUGUAAACCUCUGUCUUUGGGGAAGAAAAUGACGGUACCCAAAGAGGAAGCUCCGGCUAACUCCGUGCCAGCAGCCGCGGUAAUACGGAGGAUGCGAGCGUUAUCCGGAUUUAUUGGGUUUAAAGGGUGCGUAGGCGGGCUGCCAAGUCAGCGGUAAAAUUGCGGGGCUCACCCCCGGCGAGCCGUUGAAACUGGCGGUCUUGAGUGGGCGAGAAGUAUGCGGAAUGCGUGGUGUAGCGGUGAAAUGCAUAGAUAUCACGCAGAACUCCGAUUGCGAAGGCAGCAUACCGGCGCCCGACUGACGCUGAAGCACGAAAGCGUGGGUAUCGAACAGGAUUAGAUACCCGAGUACC